RNAcentral lists this ribosomal RNA (274 nucleotides) under uncultured bacterium. RNAcentral's name for it is "partial 16S ribosomal RNA". It matches the Rfam family "Bacterial small subunit ribosomal RNA", at positions 523 to 796 of the family's 1533-position model. The record is from RNAcentral.
AUACGGGGGGAGCAAGCGUUGUCCGGAAUCACUGGGCGUAAAGGGCGUGUAGGCGGGCUGAUAAGUCAGAUGUGAAGGCCCACGGCUUAACCGUGGAAUUGCAUUUGAUACUGUCAGUCUUGAGUGCGAGAGAGGGUAGUGGAAUUCCCGGUGUAGCGGUGAAAUGCGUAGAUAUCGGGAAGAACACCAGUAGCGAAGGCGGCUACCUGGCUCGCAACUGACGCUAAGGCGCGAAAACGUGGGGAGCAAACAGGAUUAGAAACCCUAGUAGUCC